Molecule: ribosomal RNA, 467 nt
Filed under: uncultured bacterium
Lineage: Bacteria
Description: partial 16S ribosomal RNA
Rfam family: Bacterial small subunit ribosomal RNA
Source: RNAcentral
ACGAACGCUGGCGGCGUGCUUAACACAUGCCAGUCGCACGGAAAGGCCCUGCUUUUGUGGGGUGCUCGAGUGGCGAACGGGUGAGUAACACGUGAGUAACCUGCCCUUGACUUUGGGAUAACUUCAGGAAACUGGGGCUAAUACCGGAUAGGAGCUCCUGCUGCAUGGUGGGGGUUGGAAAGUUUCGGCGGUUGGGGAUGGACUCGCGGUUUAUCAGCUUGUUGGUGGGGUAGUGGCUUACCAAGGCUUUGACGGGUAGCCGGCCUGAGAGGGUGACCGGCCACAUUGGGACUGAGAUACGGCCCAGACUCCUACGGGAGGCAGCAGUGGGGAAUAUUGCACAAUGGGCGGAAGCCUGAGGCAGCAACGCCGCGUGCGGGAUGACGGCCUUCGGGUUGUAAACCGCUUUCGCCUGUGACGAAGCGUGAGUGACGGUAAUGGGUAAAGAAGCACCGGCUAACUACGUG